RNAcentral lists this unclassified non-coding RNA (415 nucleotides) under soil metagenome. RNAcentral's name for it is "partial contains 5.8S ribosomal RNA, internal transcribed spacer 2, and large subunit ribosomal RNA". The stretch from base 1 to 120 matches the Rfam family "5.8S ribosomal RNA", at positions 35 to 154 of the family's 154-position model. The record is from RNAcentral.
GAUGAAGAACGUAGCGAAAUGCGAUAAGUAAUGUGAAUUGCAGAAUUCAGUGAAUCAUCGAAUCUUUGAACGCACCUUGCGCUCCUUGGUAUUCCUCGGAGCAUGCCUGUUUGAGUAUCAUGAAACUCUCAAAGAAAAUCUUUUGUUAAUUCAAUUGGUUUGCUUUGGACUUGGAGGUUUUUUUUGCAGAUUAAUUUCUGCUCCUCUUAAAUAUAUUAGCUGGAUCUCAGUAUAUGCUCGGUUCCACUCGGCGUGAUAAGUAUCACUCGCUGAGGACACUGGUAAAGAAGGUGGCCGGGAAAUACAGAUGAACCGCUUCAAACAGUCCAUUGACUUGGACAAUAUAAGUUUUAAGAUCUGAUCUCAAAUCAGGUAGGACUACCCGCUGAACUUAAGCAUAUCAAUAAGCGGAGGA